This is a long non-coding RNA of Alosa alosa (allis shad), 1748 nucleotides long. RefSeq lists it as uncharacterized. The record is from RefSeq and is a predicted model, not a curated record. NCBI's taxonomy places the organism in Eukaryota, Metazoa, Chordata, Actinopteri, Clupeiformes, Clupeidae. The transcript is spliced from 3 exons.
UCCAACCGUUAUGAGCAUCUACUGUCUGCCUCCGCCUAGUGUGUGUGUGUGUGUGUGUUUUUCUUUUCUUUACCGUGGGGGCAGUCCAUCAUCGGUCUCCCAAGUCACGAUAGGAAGUUCCCAAGACUUGCAAACUUGUCGAAUAUGCCUUUGUAGCGCGCUCAGUUUCGGAAUGAGCGUCUGGCCCAAUUAGGCUACAUGACGCAACCUUAGACCUACAUGUAACUAUCCAGGUUAGUUUACUGUCAGAAAAAAACUGAAAGCGACGGGUGCCCUCCAUGAAGCAACAGUAACGCCAAAAGAAGGCUGAGGGCAGCGAAGUUAAUAGCCUUUAUUAGGCUAGUUUAACCGAUCAAGACCACUUCCACAUUGCAAGAUGUCCGUUAAACUGACCUUCGUGAAGUUGGCAAGCAGAGGCAUCACCGUGCUUUGCGCGAGCGCGUCCACCCCUGCCCUGGCGGCAAUCGCAGUGGUGGCUGUGUGCGGGCUACUAUAUUUUACCAAGACCUCUACAACCCCCGCAUAUUGACCGACUAGGACAAACCAGAUAGCCAACUAAGAGAGAAAAAAGCCUGCUACUGUAGGCCUACUCCCUGGAUGGUGGUGGAUUUCAGGAUUCAAAAAUGGAUUCCACUGCCUGCUUUACAAAGACUUGACCAAAAGAUGGCGCUAUUUGUCUUAUCUGUCACUGGCCUUUUGCAAAUGGUGCCAAAGGUUCAGUCCGUGAUUGUUAUCCACACUUUUCUCUUGAAUUCAGGGAAUUGAUCCUCAUUGUCACAUAGAUGUCAGCGUUGGCAUCCAAAAAAAUGCAGGUGUAUUCAGUCCUGGCCCUGUGUAUGGAGCGACCUCUAAACAAUAGCCAAUCAACAAGGUGCUCCAUUGGCAUGUAGAGUGAUGUAAUUUGAUAUGCUGUUGAGCUCAAACAUCAGCAAUCUUUCUCAAAACCAAAUCACGGACUGUACCUUUAAUGUAGGCCUAAGCUUAUUGGCUACAUGCUAUUCCACCUAUCAGGUUUUCCUGUCUUGAUUUGAUUUGUGCACACUCAUGUUAUAGUAUGUCAUGAGUAUUCACUCGUUGGUUUUUCCUCAUUCGUAAAAUGUGCCUCAAGUUAUUUGUGUAUGGCCAUUUCUCUUUGCUCUGCGAGGACCUUUUUGGUUUUGUCUGUUUUUGUUUAAAUUCUUUGGUUGUGUGUACCCAAGACCCAACCUCAGCAGAGAUGCAGGGUGACCUCCCUGGAAAUGUCUGGACCAGAACCAUCUGCUACGGUCCUGGUACUCAUCCCUGUUCUUUUACCCUUCAGGUCUCUAGGGAGAUGUUUAUGGACCUCGGUCACAUCAUGCACACUGUACCUAGUUCUGCUGUCCUGUAUGGGUGGUCUUUGAUAACUCAGUGCUAUCAGCCUCACAGUUAGUAUUUAACAGGAUACAUCUGGUGUACCUCUGUAAUGUCAAACUGCAUGGGACCUGAUGCUUAUGUUUUAGUCUACAAUAGUUAGUUUGAUCUGAGAGACAAAACAACUUCUCCGUUUUUAGGGAUUAAGAUCCUUUUGGAGAAAAACCUAAUACAUGGUCUCAAAGGUGAGAAGAUGAUGCGGGUUGCACAGAUGCACACUUGUUUUUUUUUUUAAAUCAGACAGCGAUGACAGUGUCAGCUGUAACCCCUUAUAGUCAGGGGGUCUAUGUGGUUUCUGUGGGUUUGAAAUGUUAAUUUUUGGAGAGUGGUUGGACUGUCUUUAGGGGUCACUGAAC